UGCAAGUCGAACGAUUAAAGCUCCCUUCGGGGAGUGCAUAAAGUGGCGCACGGGUGAGUAACACGUAAGUAAUCUACCUUCGAGUGGGGAAUAACAGUCGGAAACGACUGCUAAUACCGCAUAACGCAGCGGCAUCGCAAGAUGACAGUUGUUAAAGGAGCAAUCCGCUUGAAGAGGAGCUUGCGGCAGAUUAGCUAGUUGGUAAGGUAAUGGCUUACCAAGGCUACGAUCUGUAUCCGGUCUAAGAGGACGGUCGGACACACUGACACUGAAUAACGGGUCAGACUCCUACGGGAGGCAGCAGUCGGGAAUUUUGGGCAAUGGGGGAAACCCUGACCCAGCAACGCCGCGUGAAGGAUGAAGUAUUUCGGUAUGUAAACUUCGAAAGAAUGGGAAGAAUAAAUGACGGUACCAUUUAUAAGCUCCGGCUAACUACGUGCCAGCAGCCGCGGUAAUACGUAGGGAGCAAGCGUUGUUCGGAUUUACUGGGCGUAAAGGGCGCGUAGGCGGCGCGGUAAGUCACUUGUGAAAUCUCUGAGCUUAACUCAGAACGGCCAAGUGAUACUGCAGUGCUAGAGUGCAGAAGGGGCAAUCGGAAUUCUUGGUGUAGCGGUGAAAUGCGUAGAUAUCAAGAGGAACACCUGAGGUGAAGACGGGUUGCUAGGCUGACACUGACGCUGAGGCGCGAAAGCCAGGGGAGCAAACGGGAUUAGAUACCCCGGUAGUCCUGGCCCUAAACGAUGAAUACUUUGGUGUCUGGAGUUCUAAUACUCCGGGUGCCGUCGCUAACGUUUUUAGUAUUCCCGCCUGGGGAGUACGCUCGCAAGAGUG
This 831-nucleotide ribosomal RNA is filed under the name uncultured Acidobacteriota bacterium. Its description in RNAcentral is "bacterial SSU rRNA". It matches the Rfam family "Bacterial small subunit ribosomal RNA", at positions 56 to 896 of the family's 1533-position model. The record is from RNAcentral. Lineage: Bacteria; Pseudomonadati; Acidobacteriota.